RNAcentral lists this ribosomal RNA (253 nucleotides) under uncultured bacterium. RNAcentral's name for it is "partial 16S ribosomal RNA". It matches the Rfam family "Bacterial small subunit ribosomal RNA", at positions 524 to 776 of the family's 1533-position model. The record is from RNAcentral.
UACGUAGGGUGCAAGCGUUGUCCGGAAUUAUUGGGCGUAAAGAGCUCGUAGGCGGUCUGUCACGUCGGCUGUGAAAACUCGGGGCUCAACCCCGAGCCUGCAGUCGAUACGGGCAGACUAGAGUCCGGCAGGGGAGACUGAAAUUCCUGGUGUAGCGGUGAAAUGCGCAGAUAUCAGGAGGAACACCGGUGGCGAAGGCGGGUCUCUGGGCCGGAACUGACGCUGAGGAGCGAAAGCGUGGGGAGCGAACAGG